GUCGAAUGGGUUUAGACCCAUGGCAGACGAGGUAGUAACACGUAGGUACGUGCCGUAGAGUCGGGGAUAACCUGGAGAAAUCCAGAAUAAUACCUGAUAGUCCCUUCGGGGUAAAGAUUUAUCGCUCUAUGAACGGCCUGCGGUCUAUCAGCUUGUUGGUAAGGUAACGGCUUACCAAGGCUACGACGGAUAGGGGAGGUGAGAGCCUGACCCCCACCGAUGGAACUGAGACACGGUCCAUACUCCUACGGGAGGCCGCAGUCGAGAAUCUUCCGCAAUGGACGAAAGUCUGACGGAGCGACGCCGCGUGGUGGAUGAAGCCUUUAGGGGCGUAAACACCUUUUAUGGAGGAGGAAUUUUAUUGACGUUACUCCAUGAAUAAGGGGCUCCCAAUUCUGUGCCAGCAGGAGCGGUAAUACAGAAGCCCCGAGCGUUACCCGGAUUCACUGGGCGUAAAGGGUGCGUAGGCGGUUAUAUUAGUCGGGUGUUAAAUCCUGGGGCUCAACCUCAGGCUCGCAUUCGAAACGGUAUAACUAGAAGAAGUGAGAGGUUAAGGGAACUCAAGGUGUAGGGGUGAAAUCCGUUGAUAUCUUGGGGAACACCAAAUGC
Molecule: ribosomal RNA, 609 nt
Filed under: uncultured bacterium
Lineage: Bacteria
Description: bacterial SSU rRNA
Rfam family: Bacterial small subunit ribosomal RNA
Source: RNAcentral